Molecule: long non-coding RNA, 535 nt
Filed under: Ursus maritimus (polar bear)
Lineage: Eukaryota; Metazoa; Chordata; Mammalia; Carnivora; Ursidae
Description: lncRNA (ENSUMAG00000024843.1)
Source: RNAcentral
UUUGAUCCUCUUUUCUCAUUUAUUCUAUAUUUUAUUCAUUCUUGCUUCAGUGGUUACCUUUAUAUCCUUAACAAAGCACAACUUCUUAUCUCAUAUUCAGAAAUCCUCCUCCUUCACUUAGAAGCCCUGAUCCUGGGAAGACAUGAGAGUCCUUUGGAACUGUCUUGAGUCACCAACCAAAGUUGGAUCAUUCAGGUGUUUCCAGUCUUCCAGUCCUGUUUUUGGCUUCGUUUUCUCAUUGGUGGAUCAAACCUGGGAGGUGACAGCUUUAUCUGGUGCUUUGAUAUCAUUAAGUUUCAUUUAUGUGAGAGACACAAAGGAGUUUGCGCAAGUCACACCCUUGCCAUAUCUAAUUAUAUUAAACUCACUUCACAGUGGAAGCAGUAGUGACCAAAACAGAGCAAGGACGGAAAGAAGGAGAACUUCUUCAUUAUUUUACCUUCUCUUGCAAAUGAGCAAUCUCCAAAUGUUUCCAUUGUCUCUGUUAAAUAGGGACAUGGCUUCAUAUGGGGAAAAAGAUGGACAGUGUGCAUAA